Long non-coding RNA from Xiphophorus couchianus (Monterrey platyfish), 322 nucleotides. RefSeq lists it as uncharacterized. The transcript is spliced from 2 exons. Lineage: Eukaryota; Metazoa; Chordata; Actinopteri; Cyprinodontiformes; Poeciliidae. The record is from RefSeq and is a predicted model, not a curated record.
GGAGCCACCGAGCCGCCCAACCUUCUCCAGGUGACGUUUCAACACAAAGUUAAAGUCCAAUUGAGUUCGCAGUGAAGGAAAUGUCUGCAGAAGUCCUUUAAAAUGGCUCUACCUGGGUACUGAGGGCUCGAACGUCUCGUGGGACGUGCAGCCUGUUGGAGGCCUUUGGUGUCAUCAUGACGGAGACGAUCUCAUCCAGGCUAUCGUCUCCUGAACGUCCGUCUGUCAUCAGCGUAGUCUGGGACCCAUAUUUUCUCAACACAGGAGAGCGAACGCUGAUGGGACUUAGUGGGACUGUGGAGAAAAAAAAUCAACAAAACUU